GAUGAACGCUAGCGGCAGGCCUAAUACAUGCAAGCCAAGGGCUGUUUGGUGUAGCACUACAUCAAACAACCGGCGGAGGGGUGCGUAACGCGGAUGCAACCUACCCUAUACAGGAGGAUAGACAUCGGAAACGAGGAUUAAUACUCCAUAAGAUUGAUUAGAGGCAUCUUUAAGCAAUUAAAGCCGCACGGCGGUAUAGGAUGGGCGUGCGUACGAUUAGCUAGUUGGUGAGGUAACGGCUCACCAAGGCGAUGAUCGGUGUGGGUUCUGAGAGGAAGAUCCCCCAGACCAGCACGGGAACACGGACCCGACUCCUACGUGAUUCAGCAGUAACGAAUAGUGGACAAUGGGUGAAAGCCUGAUCCAGCCAUGCCGAGUGCAGGAAUAAGUCCCUAUGGGUGGUAAACUGCUUUUGAGAGGACGAACUAAGGGCGAUGCGUCACUCUAUAAUAGUACUUCUCCAAUAAGCAUCGGCUAACUUCGUG
This 485-nucleotide ribosomal RNA is filed under the name uncultured bacterium. RNAcentral's name for it is "partial 16S ribosomal RNA". It matches the Rfam family "Bacterial small subunit ribosomal RNA", at positions 28 to 507 of the family's 1533-position model. The record is from RNAcentral.